Saccostrea echinata is the source of this 316-nucleotide long non-coding RNA. RefSeq lists it as uncharacterized. The record is from RefSeq and is a predicted model, not a curated record. The transcript is spliced from 3 exons. NCBI's taxonomy places the organism in Eukaryota, Metazoa, Mollusca, Bivalvia, Ostreida, Ostreidae.
UACAGAUUGCUUGUGAAAUUUACUUACAUGUUCUCAAACGAUCUACUGAUAAAACAGAUAAUACCAGAACAUUAGAAAGCGUGGAUUGGGAAAGAAACACCCAAUGGCUUGACAGCCUAGUAGAUAUUGAAGAAAAACUGAAGGAUCUACAAAGAAAUACGAAAGAGGCAGCAGAAGAGAGAGAAACUGAAAUCAGAAACAUCAACAGAGAUCUUAAAAAUGUUGUUUUUGGCCUUAAAGAUGUCUGUAGAGAUUUAAGGAAAGAAAUAUUCUUUCUCUUGACACAAAAGAAAGAUAUUCCAAAGAAGUACCAAGG